Molecule: ribosomal RNA, 287 nt
Filed under: uncultured microorganism
Description: partial 16S ribosomal RNA
Rfam family: Archaeal small subunit ribosomal RNA
Source: RNAcentral
GUGCAGCAGUCGCGAAUCCUCCGCAAUACACGAAAGUGUGACGGGGCCAUCCCGAGUGCCGUCCGCUGAGGACGGCUUUUCCCCAGUGUACAUAGCUGGGGGAAUAAGGAGAGGGCAAGCCUGGUGUCAGCCGCCGCGGUAACUACCAGCUCUCCGAGUGGUGGGGACGCUUAUUGGGCCUAAAGCAUCCGUAGCCGGCUGGGCAAGUCCUCCGUUAAAUCCAACGAUUCAAUCGUUGGGCUGCGGGGGAUACUGUCCAGCGUUGGGGGCGGGAGAGGCCGACGGUA